AGUAGUGCUGUGGAGGAGCGCGCCUGAAGUGGGCGUUCAGCUUUCUGAAUUAAACUGGUGGCCUUCGGUGCCUUGCGGGAUCUUGUGGUUGGGAGUGAAGGGAGAAAGCGGAGGACUGCCGCAGCGACUGGCUGAGAACGGGUAAAUCCCGAGCGAAGGAGUCGUUUGGGAGAUGUCGUACGGAGCCCGCCCGGGGCUUGGGGAUGUCAAACUUUCCGAGGGCGUCCUGGACGAGGGCCUCCGCAGUCCUUCGGACCCCGUGGGUCCGGGCGGGAACUGCCCGUCCGCGAUGAGACAGUCUGGGGGACUGGGAAGAGAAAGGCAGGGUCAGUUUAGGCUGCAGCCGCUUGGAGAUGCUCCAGCGUGACGGAUGUGCUUGACAAAUCUGCCUAACAACUCUGCUAAGCAGAGGAGAACGCAGACAGUAUAAAAGGAAUUUGGGGGUCUUGACUAAGAUCGCGUGCUGGAUAUAUAAAAUUAUUUCUAAAUGCCUCACCUGGGACAUAGGACAUACCACUCCAAAACCGGGAAACUUACUUGGUGUGUUGCUUGAUGACUUGGGAAACAUAAAUGCAGCCACCUAUUCCGUCUGUACUGGAAAUCUACAUUGGUGACACGUAUCAGGAAGAGGGCUGCCUCCAGACUAUGUUGUUCUGUAGGUACUCUGGGAAUCCCUAGAGGACCUGGGGAGAUAAUGAUUCAUGGGUAAAGUGCUUGCUGAACACACAUGAGGAUCUGAAGUCACAUGUGAUAUUUCACAUACAAACACCAGAUGUUAACAUUUGUAUGUAGUCCUAGCACUUGAGGGUGCUGAGAGCCAGACAGUGGAUCUUAGGCUCAUUGAUCUGCCAAAGUAGCAAGCUUCAGGGUGGCUGAGAGCCUUUCUCAAACAGUAAGGUCUAAAGUAAUCAGUGAAAACACUCAAUGUCUGUCUCUGACCUAAACAUGCAUGUACCACACAUACAAGAUAAAUAAAACUUUAAAUAAAUGAUAAUAAGAUGAGAACCA
Long non-coding RNA from Mus musculus (house mouse), 1008 nucleotides. RefSeq annotates it as RIKEN cDNA 1600023N17 gene. The transcript has a single exon. NCBI's taxonomy places the organism in Eukaryota, Metazoa, Chordata, Mammalia, Rodentia, Muridae. The record is from RefSeq and is marked validated.